GCAGUGGGUACGGGCAGGCUAGAGUGCGGUAGGGGAGAUGGGAAUUCCUGGUGUAGCGGUGGAAUGCGCAGAUAUCAGGAGGAACACCAAUGGCGAAGGCACAUCUCUGGGCCGUAACUGACGCUGAGGAGCGAAGGCGUGGGGAGCGAACAGGAUUAGAUACCCUGGUAGUCCACGCCGUAAACGGUGGGUGCUAGCUGUGGGCCACAUUCCACGUGGUCCGUGACGAAGUUAACACAUUAAGCACCCCGCCUGGGGAGUACGGCCGCAAGGCUAAAACUCAAAGGAAUUGACGGGGGCCCGCACAAGCGGCGGAGCAUGCGGAUUAAUUCGAUGCAAUGCGAAGAACCUUACCAAGGCUUGACAUAUAGAGGAAAAGUGCAGAAAUGCACUCCCCGCAAGGUCUCUAUACAGGUGGUGCAUGGUUGUCGUCAGCUCGUGUCGUGAGAUGUUGGGUUAAGUCCCGCAACGAGCGCAACCCUCGUCCUAUGUUGCCAGCACGUAAUGGUGGGAACUCAUGGGAUACUGCCGGGGUCAACUCGGAGGAAGGUGGGGAUGACGUCAAAUCAUCAUGCCCCUUAUGUCUUGGGCUUCACGCAUGCUACAAUGGCCGGUACAGAGGGCUGCAAUACCGCAAGGUGGAGCGAAUCCCAAAAAGCCGGUCUCAGUUCGGAUUGAGGUCUGCAACUCGACCUCAUGAAGUCGGAGUCGCUAGUAAUCGUAGAUCAGCAACGCUACGGUGAAUACGUUUCCCGGGCCUUGUACACA
This 768-nucleotide ribosomal RNA is filed under the name uncultured bacterium. RNAcentral's name for it is "bacterial SSU rRNA". It matches the Rfam family "Bacterial small subunit ribosomal RNA", at positions 623 to 1389 of the family's 1533-position model. The record is from RNAcentral.